RNAcentral lists this ribosomal RNA (90 nucleotides) under Pseudomonas sp. RNAcentral describes it as "partial 23S ribosomal RNA". The stretch from base 1 to 73 matches the Rfam family "Bacterial large subunit ribosomal RNA", at positions 2853 to 2925 of the family's 2925-position model. The record is from RNAcentral. Lineage: Bacteria; Pseudomonadati; Pseudomonadota; Gammaproteobacteria; Pseudomonadales; Pseudomonadaceae.
UUGAUAGGUUGGGUGUGUAAGCGCUGUGAGGCGUUGAGCUAACCAAUACUAAUUGCCCGUGAGGCUUGACCAUAUAACACCCAAACAAUU